This 365-nucleotide long non-coding RNA is filed under the name Manihot esculenta (cassava). RNAcentral's name for it is "long non-coding RNA (MESC_LNC002210)". The record is from RNAcentral. Lineage: Eukaryota; Viridiplantae; Streptophyta; Magnoliopsida; Malpighiales; Euphorbiaceae.
UCAAUUUGAUUAUUGAGAAAUUGGAUUUAGGUUAAUUAAAUGAUUUACUUAUAAAGUUAACCACAUGAUUGGAGGUGUCUUCUCUAUACCUAUCAUUUAUCAUUUGUCAAAUGUCUUUAGUUUUUACUUUCAUGUACUUAAUUUUUUUGGCUUUUUCUAAUCAUUUAUGGCCUUUUCUAGUCAUAUAUGCCUUUGUACAGCCCUUUUGUAACUUACUUUAUUUUUCUUUCUUUUCUUGAGUUUUACUCUUCCCAUGUCCAAUUGAGUAAUGGCAAAAGCUAAUUGGAGUACAAGGCAUAAUUCAUCUCAUUUUAUCAAUAUUAGAGAAUUUACUUGUUAGUAUUUUACUAUAUGCUUCUUAAGUA